GUUGCCCAGAACAGAAUCUUAGUUCAACUUUAAACUUGCCUCAAAACCCUAAAAUUCCAAUGUAAGUUUAAAACAUAGUCUAAAGGGGUACAGCUUUUUAGAAUUAGGAUACAGCCUUAAUUAGAGAGUAAGCACAUAACACUAAACCAUAGUUGGCCUAAAAGCAGCCACCAAUUAAGAAAGCGUUCAAGCUCAACAAUUAAAACAUCUUAAUGUCAAAAUAAUGCAACCAACUCCUAAUUUAAAACUGGGCUAAUCUAUUAGAUAAUAGAAGCAACAAUGCUAAUAUGAGUAACAAGAAGUAUUUCUCCCGUGCAUAAGCUUAUAUCAGAACGGAUGACCACUGAUAGUUAACAACAAGAUAAAUAUAACCUAAUUACAAGCAAAAUAUCAAACUAAUUGUUAACCCAACACAGGCAUGCAAUUCAGGGAAAGAUUAAAAGAAGUAAAAGGAACUCGGCAAACACAAGCCCCGCCUGUUUACCAAAAACAUCACCUCUAGCAUUUUCAGUAUUAGAGGCACUGCCUGCCCAGUGACACUAGUUAAGCGGCCGCGGUAUCCUG
RNAcentral lists this ribosomal RNA (564 nucleotides) under Panthera uncia (snow leopard). Its description in RNAcentral is "partial 16S ribosomal RNA". The record is from RNAcentral. Lineage: Eukaryota; Metazoa; Chordata; Mammalia; Carnivora; Felidae.